RNAcentral lists this unclassified non-coding RNA (391 nucleotides) under soil metagenome. RNAcentral's name for it is "partial contains 5.8S ribosomal RNA, internal transcribed spacer 2, and large subunit ribosomal RNA". The stretch from base 1 to 122 matches the Rfam family "5.8S ribosomal RNA", at positions 35 to 154 of the family's 154-position model. The record is from RNAcentral.
GAUGAAGAACGCAGCGAAAUGCGAUACUUGGUGUGAAUUGCAGAAUCCCGUGAACCAUCGAGUCUUUGAACGCAAGUUGCGCCCGAAGCCAUUAGGCCGAGGGCACGCCUGCCUGGGCGUCACACGUCGUUGCCCCCCCAUCUACUCCUUCGGGAUUGCGGGGGGCGGAUGAUGGCCUCCCGUGCGCCUAGCCGCGCGGUUGGCAUAACAGCCAAGUCCUCGGCGACGCACGCCACGACAAUCGGUGGUUGCGAAACCUCGGUUGCCCGUCGUGUGCGGUCGUCGCGCAUCGAGGGCUCGAAAAAAUUGCCGGGCUCCGGCUCGGCUUUCAACGCGACCCCAGGUCAGGCGGGGUUACCCGCUGAAUUUAAGCAUAUCAAUAAGCGGAGGA